GAAUGGCAGACUCUGGACAUGCUCCUAGAGAUGGGAGGUCAAAAUGAUCAACGUUCAGGGUCCCUUCAUCUCAGAGGGUCUCGAGUCACCUCAUUUAAAGUGUGGCCUGGGACACCUCCUAUCCAGCCAUACGCCGCCCAGGACUGGCUCAACAGCUCCACCCUCCACUGCUGUUCACCCAUGACACGUCACUUCCCACCCGCCACUGCUGGCUCACCUGUGACACCCCAGGCAGCUCAGAUGCCCGGCAGGUCCUGCUGGUGUGUAUUAGCCGGGGUCUCCAAAGAACCAGAGCCAGCAGGAGACACACCCGUCUCUGUAUCUGGAGAAAAAGAUCGAUGA
RNAcentral lists this long non-coding RNA (342 nucleotides) under Pan troglodytes (chimpanzee). RNAcentral describes it as "lincRNA". The record is from RNAcentral. Lineage: Eukaryota; Metazoa; Chordata; Mammalia; Primates; Hominidae.